UGGGGGAAUUUUGGACAAUGGGCGAAAGCCUGAUCCAGCAAUGCCGCGUGUGUGAAGAAGGCCUUCGGGUUGUAAAGCACUUUUGUCCGGAAAGAAAUCCUUGGCUCUAAUACAGUCGGGGGAUGACGGUACCGGAAGAAUAAGCACCGGCUAACUACGUGCCAGCAGCCGCGGUAAUACGUAGGGUGCAAGCGUUAAUCGGAAUUACUGGGCGUAAAGCGUGCGCAGGCGGUUUGCUAAGACCGAUGUGAAAUCCCGGGCUCAACCUGGGAACUGCAUUGGUGACUGGCAGGCUAGAGUAUGGCAGAGGGGGGUAGAAUUCCACGUGUAGCAGUGAAAUGCGUAGAGAUGUGGAGGAAUACCGAUGGCGAAGGCAGCCCCCUGGGCCAAUACUGACGCUCAUGCACGAAAGCGUGGGGAGCAAACAGGAUUAGAUACCCUGGUAGUCCACGCCCU
Molecule: ribosomal RNA, 456 nt
Filed under: uncultured bacterium
Lineage: Bacteria
Description: partial 16S ribosomal RNA
Rfam family: Bacterial small subunit ribosomal RNA
Source: RNAcentral